GAUGAACGCUGGCGGCGUGCCUAAUACAUGCAAGUCGAGCGAACGGACGAGAAGCUUGCUUCUCUGAUGUUAGCGGCGGACGGGUGAGUAACACGUGGAUAACCUACCUAUAAGACUGGGAUAACUUCGGGAAACCGGAGCUAAUACCAGAUAAUAUUUUGAACCGCAUGGUUCAAAAGUGAAAGACGGUCUUGCUGUCACUUAUAGAUGGAUCCGCGCUGCAUUAGCUAGUUGGUAAGGUAACGGCUUACCAAGGCAACGAUGCAUAGCCGACCUGAGAGGGUGAUCGGCCACCCUGGAACUGAGACACGGUCCAGACUCCUACGGGAGGCAGCAGUAGGGAAUCUUCCGCAAUGGGCGAAAGCCUGACGGAGCAACGCCGCGUGAGUGAUGAAGGUCUUCGGAUCGUAAAACUCUGUUAUUAGGGAAGAACAUAUGUGUAAGUAACUGUGCACAUCUUGACGGUACCUAAUCAGAAAGCCACGGCUAACUACGUG
RNAcentral lists this ribosomal RNA (497 nucleotides) under uncultured bacterium. RNAcentral's name for it is "partial 16S ribosomal RNA". It matches the Rfam family "Bacterial small subunit ribosomal RNA", at positions 28 to 507 of the family's 1533-position model. The record is from RNAcentral.